UACGUAGGGGGCAAGCGUUGUCCGGAAUCAUUGGGCGUAAAGCGCGCGUAGGCGGCCCGGUAAGUCCGUUGUGAAAGUCAAAGGCUCAACCUUUGAACGCCGAUGGAUACUGCCGGGCUAGAGUCCGGAAGAGGCGAGUGGAAUUCCUGGUGUAGCGGUGGAAUGCGCAGAUAUCAGGAGGAACACCGGUGGCGAAGGCGGGUCUCUGGGCCGAUACUGACGCUGAGGAGCGAAAGCGUGGGGAGCGAACAGG
RNAcentral lists this ribosomal RNA (253 nucleotides) under uncultured bacterium. RNAcentral describes it as "partial 16S ribosomal RNA". It matches the Rfam family "Bacterial small subunit ribosomal RNA", at positions 524 to 776 of the family's 1533-position model. The record is from RNAcentral.